UUCUAGGCAGGCUUUGCUAUUUUGGCUGUCAGAGCUAGAUGGAUAUUUCACCCUAUAGAACGAUUAGUGUUCCCACUUCUUUGCAUUUGUAACGUUUGCCUCCUUGUUGUCACAGGCAUUUUCAACAAUAUUUGGUCUAUCAAGUUAAGAAAAUCCGGUUACAGGUACUAGGAUGGUGGUCAACUAUCAGAUCAACAGAUGGCGUUACUUCAAUAUCAGCAAGAAAAUAUAUACUUUUUGAGUGAGGAGAUUCUUAAACUGCAAGAAACCUUAAGCAAAUACGAAAGGUCUAAUGAUGGGAGUGCACCUCAGCUACCGCUAGGGAAAAAAAAUUCAACAACAAUAAUAACAACAACAUACCCAGUGUAGGCCCACAAGUGAGGUGUGGGGAGGGCUAUUGUGAAUACAGAUCUUUUCCCUAUCCACGGAUGAGCUGCUGCAACAAAAAAUGGAGGAAAUAGAAGAGAGGAUGAAACAAAGAAAGCUAGAAAAAUUUGAGGAACAUAAGGGUACAAUGCAACAACAAAUUGCAAUUAACAUCAUAGCAAGACUUCAACGCCUUAACCCUGAUCUACAACUUAACCCUGACCUGCUUGCAUUUUGUGCUCGUUCUUGUUCAUCAGAACAAACUGAAGGUGGAGAAAAUGAAGCAGCGAAUGAGGAGAACAUUGAAGAACGUUAAGAAGAUUUUUUAUGUCGUAAAAUUGAAACUUAUGCCGAUAUUUUUUAAAUCGGCAGCACAUUGAAACUUAUGUCGUAAUUUACUAUUUUCUAGUUUUAUGGAUAUUAACUACUAUGGCUAGCUUAAAUUUUGGAUAUAUGAUUUUAAUGAUGAACAUUGAUAACGUACUGUUUUGUAAUUCUAUAGCUUUUAUUUAUGUAUUUGAGUUUAUUGG
Long non-coding RNA from Capsicum annuum, 896 nucleotides. RefSeq lists it as uncharacterized. The transcript has 6 exons. The record is from RefSeq and is a predicted model, not a curated record. NCBI's taxonomy places the organism in Eukaryota, Viridiplantae, Streptophyta, Magnoliopsida, Solanales, Solanaceae.